RNAcentral lists this long non-coding RNA (1059 nucleotides) under Fukomys damarensis (Damara mole-rat). RNAcentral's name for it is "lncRNA (ENSFDAG00000030035.1)". The record is from RNAcentral. Lineage: Eukaryota; Metazoa; Chordata; Mammalia; Rodentia; Bathyergidae.
CGACAGAAUAAACAUUCGCUCAACCUAAGCAAACUCGGUUUUAGAAAAAAUUUUUUAAAGGCAGCACAGCUGCGCCUGCGCUGUAGCCAUAGGGGCGGGAGGUCAACUCGAGGGCGAGAGGAAGGCGGUGCCAGAGAAGGCGUGCCUGUUUUCCAAACUCCCACUUUCCCCACGGUGAGUAUCUGUCCCAGCGUUGGCCUGCCUGACAUGAGUGACGGUAUGUCUUAACCAAUCAUCGCAGAACCCAGCUAGUUGCCAGGGUGAAGCAGCGCCCGCCUCUCCAGCGGAAGGGGAUACUGGUGCGUGGAACCGGAACUGACGCUGCAGGUGAAUGCAAUGCUUUGGGAGUGUUGCUAUUUUCCAGUUAGCCCGGCUGACUGCGUUCAAGUUGGAAGCCUGGAGGAAAAGCGUCCUAAUCGUCCGCAGGACAGGCUACGCUGUCUCUUUGCUGUACCUGGGCUCACGACUCGGAACCUCAGGGAGAGAGCCGAACAGAACGGGCGGAGAAGAAAGGCUGAGAACUAGAGUGAGGACUUUGAUAUUCGAGACUGAGGGCUCCGGAGUGCGAGCGCUCGCCUAUGAUAGGCCUGUUGGCAUCUUCAGGAUCCCACACAACUUCUUCGAUUGCAGAAGGCUGGAAUGAGAUAACAAUAAACUUGCUGGAGUUGCAGAGAAGGCCACAACAAACUCGCUGCGGUGCCUUCGUGGUGGACUUCACAUCCGGUUCCUGCUCCGGGUGUGACCUGCGUACCGCCGAGAGUUCUGGAACCCGUGCCGUGAUCUCUUUAUCCGGGUCUCGCUGUUCCCGUCGUGCAUUUCCUUUGAAGCAGAAGGCUGGAAUGAGAUAACAAUAAACUUGCUGGAGUUGCAGAGAAGGCCACAACAAACUCGCUGCGGUGCCUUCGUGGUGGACUUCACAUCCGGUUCCUGCUCCGGGUGUGACCUGCGUACCGCCGAGAGUUCUGGAACCCGUGCCGUGAUCUCUUUAUCCGGGUCUCGCUGUUCCCGUCGUGCGCCGCGCACUACUGUAGCCCCCCCCCCUCAUCCGGGUUCUCUCCC